This 261-nucleotide ribosomal RNA is filed under the name uncultured bacterium. RNAcentral describes it as "partial 16S ribosomal RNA". It matches the Rfam family "Bacterial small subunit ribosomal RNA", at positions 515 to 775 of the family's 1533-position model. The record is from RNAcentral.
CCGCGGUAAAACGUAGGAGGCGAGCGUUAUCCGGAUUUACUGGGCGUAAAGCGCGUGCAGGCGGACGGGUAAGUUGGGUGUGAAAGCUCCUGGCUAAACUGGGAGAGGUCGCUCAAGACUGCCGGUCUGGAGCAUGGUAGGGGAAGGCGGAAUUCCGGGUGUAGUGGUGAAAUGCGUAGAUAUCCGGAGGAACACCAGUGGCGAAAGCGGCCUUCUAGACCAUGACUGACGCUCAGACGCGAAAGCUAGGGUAGCAAACGG